Molecule: ribosomal RNA, 454 nt
Filed under: uncultured bacterium
Lineage: Bacteria
Description: bacterial SSU rRNA
Rfam family: Bacterial small subunit ribosomal RNA
Source: RNAcentral
UACGGAAGGCAGCAGUGGGGAAUAUUGCACAAUGGGCGCAAGCCUGAUGCAGCCAUGCCGCGUGUAUGAAGAAGGCCUUCGGGUUGUAAAGUACUUUCAGUCGUGAGGAAGGUGUUAAGGUUAAUAACCUUAGCAAUUGACGUUAGCGACAGAAGAAGCACCGGCUAACUCCGUGCCAGCAGCCGCGGUAAUACGGAGGGUGCGAGCGUUAAUCGGAAUUACUGGGCGUAAAAGGGCACGCAGGCGGUUAAUUAAGUUGGAUGUGAAAUCCCCGGGCUUAACCUGGGAAUGGCAUUCAAGACUGGUUAGCUAGAGUCUUGUAGAGGGGGUAGAAUUCCAUGUGUAGCGGUGAAAUGCGUAGAGAUGUGGAGGAAUACCGGUGGCGAAGGCGGCCCCUGGGACAAAGACUGACGCUCAUGUGCGAAAGCGUGGGGAGCAAACAGGAUUAGAUACC